Molecule: ribosomal RNA, 315 nt
Filed under: uncultured bacterium
Lineage: Bacteria
Description: bacterial SSU rRNA
Rfam family: Bacterial small subunit ribosomal RNA
Source: RNAcentral
GAUGAACGCUAGCGACAGGCCUAACACAUGCAAGUCGAGGGGUAACAAGUAAAAAGCUUGCUUUUUAUGUUGACGACCGGCGCACGGGUGAGUAACACGUAUGCAACCUGCCUUUUACAGGGGAAUAGCCCAGAGAAAUUUGGAUUAAUGCCCCAUAAUAUUUAUCAUUCGCAUGUUUGAUAAAUUAAAGCUCCGGCGGUAAAAGAUGGGCAUGCGUUCUAUUAGUUAGUUGGUGAGGUAACGGCUCACCAAGGCGACGAUAGAUAGGGGUUCUGAGAGGAUAGUCCCCCACACUGGUACUGAGACACGGACCAG